AGUAAGGAAUAUUGGUCAAUGGACGAAAGUCUGAACCAGCCAUGCCGCGUGGAGGAUGAAGGUCCUCUGGAUUGUAAACUUCUUUUAUAUGGGACGAAAAUGGGGCUUUCUAGCUCAACUGACGGUACCAUGUGAAUAAGCACCGGCUAACUCCGUGCCAGCAGCCGCGGUAAUACGGAGGGUGCAAGCGUUAUCCGGAUUCACUGGGUUUAAAGGGUGCGUAGGUGGACUGGUAAGUCAGAGGUGAAAUCUCCGGGCUCAACUCGGAAACUGCCAUUGAUACUAUCAGUCUUGAAUAUUGUGGAGGUUAGCGGAAUAUGUCAUGUAGCGGUGAAAUGCUUAGAUAUGACAUAGAACACCAAUUGCGAAGGCAGCUGGCUACACAUAUAUUGACACUGAGGCACGAAAGCGUGGGGAUCAAA
This 422-nucleotide ribosomal RNA is filed under the name uncultured Chitinophagaceae bacterium. RNAcentral describes it as "bacterial SSU rRNA". It matches the Rfam family "Bacterial small subunit ribosomal RNA", at positions 353 to 772 of the family's 1533-position model. Lineage: Bacteria; Pseudomonadati; Bacteroidota; Chitinophagia; Chitinophagales; Chitinophagaceae. The record is from RNAcentral.